This 301-nucleotide ribosomal RNA is filed under the name uncultured bacterium. RNAcentral describes it as "partial 16S ribosomal RNA". It matches the Rfam family "Bacterial small subunit ribosomal RNA", at positions 509 to 807 of the family's 1533-position model. The record is from RNAcentral.
CAGCAGCCGCGGGAAUACGUAGGUGGCAAGCGUUGUCCGGAAUUAUUGGGCGUAAAGGGCUCGCAGGCGGUUUCUUAAGUCUGAUGUGAAAGCCCCCGGCUCAACCGGGGAGGGUCAUUGGAAACUGGGAAACUUGAGUGCAGAAGAGGAGAGUGGAAUUCCACGUGUAGCGGUGAAAUGCGUAGAGAUGUGGAGGAACACCAGUGGCGAAGGCGACUCUCUGGUCUGUAACUGACGCUGAGGAGCGAAAGCGUGGGGAGCGAACAGGAUUAGAUACCCCUGUAGUCCCUGUCUCUUAUAC